AGUGCUCAGGAGAAAGAAUAAGUCACCAUGCAAUCUAUGGGCACAUCGGGUGUAAGGAAGAGUGGGAGGUGCUUCAAGAUGGAGGAGGAGUAAGACGUGGAGAUCACCUUCCUCCCCACAAAUACAUCAAAAAUACAUCUACAAGUGGAACAACUCCUACAGAACACCUGCUGAACGCUUGCAGAGGACCUCAGACUUCCCAAAAGGCAAGAAACUCCCCACGUACCUGGCCGUGUGGCUGACAGGGUCGUGGUGCUCUGGCCUGUUGUCAGGCCUGAGCCUCUGAGGUGGGAGAGCCGAGUUCAGGACAUUGGAUGACCAGAGACCUCCCGGGCCCAUGUAAUAUCAAUCAGGAGGAGCUCUCCCAGAGAUCUCCAUCUCAACACUAAGACCCAGCUCCACUCAAUGGCCAGCAAGCUCUAGUGCUGGACACCCCAUGUCAAACAACUAGCAAGACAGGAACACAACUCCACC
Molecule: long non-coding RNA, 474 nt
Organism: Physeter macrocephalus (sperm whale)
Lineage: Eukaryota; Metazoa; Chordata; Mammalia; Artiodactyla; Physeteridae
Exons: 3
Source: RefSeq, a predicted model, not a curated record